AGUCGAACGAUGAAGCCGGAGCUUGCUCUGGUGGAUUAGUGGCGAACGGGUGAGUAACACGUGAGUAACCUGCCCUUGACUCUGGAAUAAGCGUUGGAAACGACGUCUAAUACCGGAUACGAGCUUCAGCCGCAUGGCUAGGAGCUGGAAAGAAUUUCGGUCAAGGAUGGACUCGCGGCCUAUCAGGUAGUUGGUGAGGUAAUGGCUCACCAAGCCUACGACGGGUAGCCGGCCUGAGAGGGUGACCGGCCACACUGGAACUGAGACACGGUCCAGACUCCUACGGGAGGCAGCAGUGGGGAAUAUUGCACAAUGGGCGCAAGCCUGAUGCAGCAACGCCGCGUGAGGGACGACGGCCUUCGGGUUGUAAACCUCUUUUAGUAGGGAAGAAGCGAAAGUGACGGUACCUGCAGAAAAAGCACCGGCUAACUACGUGCCAGCAGCCGCGGUAAUACGUAGGGUGCAAGCGUUAUCCGGAAUUAUUGGGCGUAAAGAGCUCGUAGGCGGUUUGUCGCGUCUGCUGUGAAAACUGGAGGCUCAACCUCCAGCUUGCAGUGGGUACGGGCAGACUAGAGUGCGGUAGGGGAGAUUGGAAUUCCUGGUGUAGCGGUGGAAUGCGCAGAUAUCAGGAGGAACACCAAUGGCGAAGGCAGAUCUCUGGGCCGUAACUGACGCUGAGGAGCGAAAGCAUGGGGAGCGAACAGGAUUAGAUACCCUGGUAGUCCAUGCCGUAAACGUUGGGAACUAGAUGUAGGGACCAUUCCACGGUUUCUGUGUCGCAGCUAACGCAUUAAGUUCCCCGCCUGGGGAGUACGGCCGCAAGGCUAAAACUCAAAGGAAUUGACGGGGGCCCGCACAAGCGGCGGAGCAUGCGGAUUAAUUCGAUGCAACGCGAAGAACCUUACCAAGACUUGACAUAUACGAGAACGGGCUAGAAAUAGUCAACUCUUUGGACACUCGUAAACAGGUGGUGCAUGGUUGUCGUCAGCUCGUGUCGUGAGAUGUUGGGUUAAGUCCCGCAACGAGCGCAACCCUCGUUCUUUGUUGCCAGCACGUAAUGGUGGGAACUCAAAGGAGACUGCCGGGGUCAACUCGGAGGAAGGUGGGGAUGACGUCAAAUCAUCAUGCCCCUUAUGUCU
RNAcentral lists this ribosomal RNA (1139 nucleotides) under Salinibacterium sp. C3W-3. Its description in RNAcentral is "bacterial SSU rRNA". It matches the Rfam family "Bacterial small subunit ribosomal RNA", at positions 60 to 1209 of the family's 1533-position model. Lineage: Bacteria; Bacillati; Actinomycetota; Actinomycetes; Micrococcales; Microbacteriaceae. The record is from RNAcentral.